CCUACGGGAGGCAGCAGUGGGGGAUAUUGCACAAUGGGGGGAACCCUGAUGCAGCGACGCCGCGUGGGUGAAGAAGCGCCUCGGCGCGUAAAGCUCUGUCAGCAGGGAAGAAAAUGACGGUACCUGAAGAAGAAGCCCCGGCUAACUACGUGCCAGCAGCCGCGGUAAUACGUGGGGGGCAAGCGUGAUCCGGAUUUACUGGGGGUAAGGGGGGCGCAGACGGCGCUGCAGGCCAGGAGUGAAGGCCCGGGGCCCAACCCCGGGACUGAUCUUGGAACUGCGUGGCUGGAGUGCAGGAGGGGCAGGCGGAAUUCCUGGUGUAGCGGUGAAAUGCGUAGAUAUCAGGAGGAACACAGGUGGCGAAGGCGGCCUGCUGGACUGCAACUGACGUUGAGGCCCGAAAGCGUGGGGAGCAAACAGGAUUAGAUACCCUUGUAGU
RNAcentral lists this ribosomal RNA (439 nucleotides) under uncultured bacterium. RNAcentral describes it as "partial 16S ribosomal RNA". It matches the Rfam family "Bacterial small subunit ribosomal RNA", at positions 338 to 794 of the family's 1533-position model. The record is from RNAcentral.